RNAcentral lists this long non-coding RNA (712 nucleotides) under Phasianus colchicus (ring-necked pheasant). RNAcentral describes it as "lncRNA (ENSPCLG00000000018.1)". Lineage: Eukaryota; Metazoa; Chordata; Aves; Galliformes; Phasianidae. The record is from RNAcentral.
CAUUAUGUGCAAGUAUAUGCUAACUCAUCCUGCCAGAGCUAAGGCUCUGCUUGCUGAGGACAUCACCAUGAGGACAUCACCAUGAGGAAGAAGAUUUCUGGUUUGAUUCCUGUUCAGACUGAAAGUUAAUUCGCUAAUGGCUCUCCAUUGGCCCAUAACACAAGCCUGGAUGAUCUCAAUUCUAGUUCCCAAGGACAGAGUGUCCUGUCACACAGAGGAGGAACAGUAAAUUUGCUGUGGGUUUGGAUUCCAUGUUUGACCAAGCACCCAAACUUCAGACACCAGAUAUCAGGAGAUUCACAACAGCCUACUGAGAGAAUAUGACUCUUGGAACAAGAGAACAUCACCUGAAUUCUGAAGGCUUUCUUGCAUUUCAGCAAUGAAGACUCCUGCAAAGUGUUCACCUGCCCUGAGGGAUGGAACAACUUGGCAAGAUGUCUGCAUUACAAUUGGAAUAUUGCAUCUGCUGGGAGAAGACUUGAGAGAAUACUUUUACUUUUCACCAGUUCCUGCUGUGCCUUGGCAUUUACAGUCCCUCUGGAGAAACACUGUCAGCAGUUUUCACCUCUGCCUUGCAGACUGGCUCAGCAGUGUGACAAGCAUAUUAGUUCAUCACUGAGCCCCAUCCAGUUCCUCAGGAGGGUUACAAGCUGUCCAUGGAAGUAUUACUGAAUUGUCUACUCUGAAUAAAUGCUCACAUGAAAAAAAAACA